Molecule: long non-coding RNA, 245 nt
Filed under: Carica papaya (papaya)
Lineage: Eukaryota; Viridiplantae; Streptophyta; Magnoliopsida; Brassicales; Caricaceae
Description: long non-coding RNA (CPAP_LNC007434)
Source: RNAcentral
UGAAUGUUGAUUUUAAAUUCUCAAUUUGGCACUAUAUGAUGCAUUUGUUGAUUGUGUCAUAUGUAUAUGAAUCUACCAUAAUUGAAGCAUAGAGGAAAAUUAUUUUCCAUGUUUGAUGUUUUGGAUUUUGUGGAUUCAUUUGUGUGAAUAGGAAAGUAACUCGAUCAAUAAUAGUGUAGUCUUGAAAGUAUGAAACCUUAAGGCUCCAAAUUGAGUGACAACAAAACAAUUUAGUGAAGGAACAU